This 45-nucleotide ribosomal RNA is filed under the name Lichtheimia ramosa. Its description in RNAcentral is "partial 18S ribosomal RNA". The record is from RNAcentral. Lineage: Eukaryota; Fungi; Mucoromycota; Mucoromycetes; Mucorales; Lichtheimiaceae.
AGUCGUAACAAGNUUUCCGUAGGUUGAACUGCGGAAGGAUCAUUA